UAGCUUGCUASMYGCUGACGAGCGGCGGACGGGUGAGUAAUGCAUAGGAAUCURCCCGGUAGUGGGGGAUAACCUGGGGAAACCCAGGCUAAUACCGCAUACGUCCUACGGGAGAAAGGGGGCUCCGGCUCCCGCUAUCGGAUGAGCCUAUGUCGGAUUAGCUAGUUGGUGAGGUAAUGGCUCACCAAGGCAACGAUCCGUAGCUGGUCUGAGAGGAUGAUCAGCCACAUCGGGACUGAGACACGGCCCGAACUCCUACGGGAGGCAGCAGUGGGGAAUAUUGGACAAUGGGCGAAAGCCUGAUCCAGCCAUGCCGCGUGUGUGAAGAAGGCCUUCGGGUUGUAAAGCACUUUCAGCGAGGAAGAACGCCUAGUGGUUAAUACCCAUUAGGAAAGACAUCACUCGCAGAAGAAGCACCGGCUAACUCCGUGCCAGCAGCCGCGGUAAUACGGAGGGUGCAAGCGUUAAUCGGAAUUACUGGGCGUAAAGCGCGCGUAGGUGGCUUGAUAAGCCGGUUGUGAAAGCCCCGGGCUCAACCUGGGAACGGCAUCCGGAACUGUCAGGCUAGAGUGCAGGAGAGGAAGGUAGAAUUCCCGGUGUAGCGGUGAAAUGCGUAGAGAUCGGGAGGAAUACCAGUGGCGAAGGCGGCCUUCUGGACUGACACUGACACUGAGGUGCGAAAGCGUGGGUAGCAAACAGGAUUAGAUACCCUGGUAGUCCACGCCGUAAACGAUGUCGACCAGCCGUUGGGUGCCUAGCGCACUUUGUGGCGAAGUUAACGCGAUAAGUCGACCGCCUGGGGAGUACGGCCGCAAGGUUAAAACUCAAAUGAAUUGACGGGGGCCCGCACAAGCGGUGGAGCAUGUGGUUUAAUUCGAUGCAACGCGAAGAACCUUACCUACUCUUGACAUCCUGCGAACUUGUGAGAGAUCACUUGGUGCCUUCGGGAGCGCAGAGACAGGUGCUGCAUGGCUGUCGUCAGCUCGUGUUGUGAAAUGUUGGGUUAAGUCCCGUAACGAGCGCAACCCUUGUCC
This 1034-nucleotide ribosomal RNA is filed under the name Halomonas sp. Its description in RNAcentral is "bacterial SSU rRNA". It matches the Rfam family "Bacterial small subunit ribosomal RNA", at positions 76 to 1110 of the family's 1533-position model. Lineage: Bacteria; Pseudomonadati; Pseudomonadota; Gammaproteobacteria; Oceanospirillales; Halomonadaceae. The record is from RNAcentral.